GGCUACUGCUAUUGGGAUUCGACUAAGCCAUGCGAGUCAAGGUGUCUUCGGACGCCGGCGUACGGCUCAGUAACACGUAGGUAACCUACCCUCAGGACUGAGAUAACCCCGGGAAACUGGGGCUAAUAUUGGAUAGAUAAAAGAUACUGGAAUGUUCUUUUAUCCAAAGCUUUUGCGCCUGAGGAUGGGCCUGCGUCCGAUUAGGUUGUUGGUGGGGUAAUGGCCCACCAAGCCUACGAUCGGUACGGGCAGUGAGAGCUGAAGCCCGGAGUUGGGGACUGAGACAAGGCCCCAGGCCCUACGGGGCGCAGCAGGCGCGAAACCUCUGCAAUGCGGGAAACCGUGACAGGGGGAUCCCAAGUGCUCAUGCAUUGCAUGGGCUGUUCUUUGGUCUAAGUAACCAGAGGAGUAAGGGCUGGGCAAGACCGGUGCCAGCCGCCGCGGUAAUACCGGCAGCUCAAGUGGUAGCCGCGAUUAUUGGGCCUAAAGCGUUCGUAGCCGGAUAAGUAAGUCUUUGGUUAAAUCCUGCGACUUAACCGUGGGAAAUCUAGAGAUACUGCUUGUCUUGAGACCGGGAGAGGUUGGAGGUACUCCCAGGGUAGGGGUGAAAUCCUGUAAUCCUGGGGGGACCACCUGUGGCGAAGGCGUCCAACUGGAACGGGUCUGACGGUGAGGGACGAAACCUAGGGGAGCGAGCCGGAUUAGAUACCCGGGUAGUCCUAGGCGUAAAUGAUGCGAGUUAAGUGUGGGGGCAUCCACGAGAUGGCCCUGUGCUGUAGGGUAGCCGUUAAACUCGCCGCCUGGGGAGUACGGUCGCAAGGCUGAAACUUAA
Molecule: ribosomal RNA, 832 nt
Filed under: archaeon enrichment culture clone F20_3132
Lineage: Archaea
Description: bacterial SSU rRNA
Rfam family: Archaeal small subunit ribosomal RNA
Source: RNAcentral